AUUGAACGCUGGCGGCAGGCCUAACACAUGCAAGUCGAGCGAACGAAGGGGGCUUGCUCCCGGAUUCAGCGGCGGACGGGUGGGUAAUGCCUAGGAGUCUGCCUGAUCUUGGGGAAUCACGUACGGAAACGGGCGCUGAUAUAGCAUAGGACCAUAGAUAGAAAGUGGGGGAUCUUCGGUCUUAGCGGUUUCUGAUGUGCCUUGGUCGGAUUAGCUAGUUGGUGGGGUAAGGGCUUACCAAGGCGACGUUCCGUAACUGGGCUGAGAGGGUGAUCGGUCACACUGGAACUGAGACACGGUCCAGACUCCUACGGGAGGCAGCAGUAGGGAAUCUUGCGCAAUGGGCGAAAGCGUGAUCGAGCCAAGCCGCGUGAGUGAUGAAGGUCUUCGGAUUGUAAAACACUGUAAGUUGGGAGGAAGGAAAGUGAGUGUAUCCCUGGCUGUAUUGACGGUACCUACAGAAUAAGCCCCGGCUAACUUCGUG
RNAcentral lists this ribosomal RNA (484 nucleotides) under uncultured bacterium. RNAcentral describes it as "partial 16S ribosomal RNA". It matches the Rfam family "Bacterial small subunit ribosomal RNA", at positions 30 to 507 of the family's 1533-position model. The record is from RNAcentral.